CAUCCGUAGAGCCUAAUCAAAGCGAACUGUACAACAGUGACGCCGCGACCUUGAAGCGCACUGUCGUAGUGCGAAUGUCGGAUAUGCAAGGCAGUGCAGUGCAGCUGUAGCCGCGGCCUCGUUUGGCCACGUCCACAAUUUCUGUCGCUCAGGACGUGCCCCACACCAAGGCAGUUUCUGGACACCGUCAUAACUCAUCAAUACAGGUUGAAGUAUGUCAUCGCUACCAGCAGAACGGACACGCACUGAGACAUCGAGUUCUGCAACUGUACAUUACGCCAGCAUCAAUGAUGGACGAUUGUUUGAAGACUUAUCGAGGAAGAAUGCUGAAGAUUGGCAUUCUUACUUCAUGGCACUUGCAUGUCUUCUCUCUACGCGCAGUAGGGAUCCCAAAUGGAAAGUAGGUGCAUGCAUUGUGAAUAAAGAAGGGCACAUCGUUGGGCAAGGAUACAAUGGAAUGCUCAAUAAUGCCCCGGAAAAUACAUUUCCCUGGGGCAAAGAGUCUACGAGCAACCUGGAAACCAAGACUCUUUUUGUCUGUCAUGCAGAAAUGAAUGCCAUUGCAUUUUCCAACUUAACGGAUUUUGAUGGAUGCACCAUGUAUGUGUCUACAUUCCCCUGCAUACAGUGUGCUAUGAGAAUAAAAGCAGUAGGCAUAUCCCAUGUCUACUACUUGGACGUGCAAAGCAACGAAGGAAGAGAAACGGAAAUAAAGAAUGCAGAAAGCAUUCUGACAGGUCUGAUACGCUGGACUGAUAUUCGAUCAUCGGUGACAUUUGACUUCACACAGUGUGAAAUAUUCAAAAAGGGAGCAGCCCGUCUUCCGAACAGGGAACCACAAGGUGGCGUCAAGAAAAUAACGUUUGAAGUUGGAGACCUGACCACGGAAAAAGAAGUUGAAGAACUGAUCUCGAAAAAGGAAGUUGAAGAACUGAUCUCGAAAAUGAAAGUUAUAGUCUCGAAAAAGGAAGGAGAACUGAUCUCGAAAAAGGAAGUUGAAGAACUGAUCCCGAAAAUGAAAGUUAAAGAUUUGAUCUCGAAAAAAGAAGUUGAAGAACCGAUCUCGAAAAAGAAAGUGGACAGGAUGAAAUGGGAACACCUGUUCUUCGCCAUCUGCCUGAUCGAAGCUCAAAAGAGCGAUGAAACAAAAAAACUCGGUGCUUGCGUCGUAAAUGAGGACAACCACAUCGUCGGGUGGGGGCACAAUCGCAGAGCUGGCAGUGAGCCUGAAACAGAAGUUCACGCCGAAAUGAUAGCAGUACUGCGCGCUGGCCCCGCCUUGAAGAACGCAACUUUGUACACAUUGCAACACCCUUGCAACGAGUGCGCCAAAAGCAUGAUUCAAAAAGGAGUAGGAAAGGUUAUCUACCUAAUGAAACCGCAGCCUACGGACACGUACAAAUCUGCGGAAUGGAUGUUCAGAGAGAUGGGGGUAUUCACCAGGUUUUUUAACCUAACUGGACCGACUGGCGCCAAAAACGAGAGCGUGGAGGUCACUUUUAAGGAUUAAUGCGGCAAGGUUGGCGGAUGCGUGCUGAGUGAUCAGAUAAAAGGCUCCUUGAAAGGGCAAGAAGUCUGCUGAAGACAAAGAAGACGAAGCUCUUUCUGUAUUCAACCAUCGGACGUAGGCAUCCCGUUCACGUAUAGAAAAACACAUCUAAAGCAGGGAUCCUUGACAUAAGAUCUUACUUUCACAGCUUUCCUAACGUAACAUAUAAGACAACGUUCGUUAACGGUUAAGGGUAUGAAACUGUUGCAAGCACUUCCAAUGACAAAGUCGAUGAACUAGAAACAUAACCUAAGAGUUGUAACUUUUGCGCUUCCGACAACAAUACCCUGUGGAAGUUACAGAUCCCUGAUACGAAGAUGAAAUUAUCUAUUUUUUUCCAAGGAUACUUAUUUGACGUGUUUGAGAAAUCCCAGUUUUUUUCUUAAAAAAUCAUGAGUUUUUCCCUUUAAGUUCUUAGUAGUUUAGAAUAUGUGCAUAGCUUUGGGUAUCUGCUUCACACCUAGUUGUCUCACAGAAGCGCUUGGAUGUUAACGAUGCAACUGCUCUCUCGCAAAUGUUGGAUAUGUGACGAGCAGCAAAGGUUGCUAUCGAAAUGUUUGCUUGCUUUGCAAUUCAAAUUAUAGAAAUUUUAUCAAAAA
Molecule: unclassified non-coding RNA, 2148 nt
Filed under: Thrips palmi
Lineage: Eukaryota; Metazoa; Arthropoda; Insecta; Thysanoptera; Thripidae
Description: uncharacterized LOC117644953, transcript variant X4
Source: RNAcentral